UUGCUGCUGGGAGUCAAAACACUGGACCGGGCUCAGGGCUGCUCACUUGUUGGCAUGAAAGAUUGUUUUCCUUAACAAGAUGCUGUUCUGCAAAAUCAGCCUUAGGUUUUUGGUGUUAUACCUGGGAUGGUCCCUGUUAUGUGGAAAUUCUAGUGCACAAUGAAGGCAGGCAUUCCUCAAUAGAUCUUCUUCACAGGAGCAGCGACCCUUCUUAUUGUUACCAGCUCUGGACUCCCUUGGUUGGGCUCUGCAGGAAUAUUCCCAUCCAUGAAAGUGUCUGCAAGACUGCCAAAUGGAGACACAAUCUGCAAGAUGAGCUUUGGUACUGUUCCCACACUACUGUGUACUCAAAACGUAGUUUCAGUAUCAGUUCAGUUUUUACUGAUCCAGUACAUGCUAGCUGAAUGUUAAAAGAACACAACUGUAAACCUG
This 432-nucleotide long non-coding RNA is filed under the name Gallus gallus (chicken). Its description in RNAcentral is "long non-coding RNA NONGGAT011732". Lineage: Eukaryota; Metazoa; Chordata; Aves; Galliformes; Phasianidae. The record is from RNAcentral.